Molecule: ribosomal RNA, 901 nt
Filed under: Seiridium unicorne
Lineage: Eukaryota; Fungi; Ascomycota; Sordariomycetes; Amphisphaeriales; Sporocadaceae
Description: LSU rRNA
Rfam family: Eukaryotic large subunit ribosomal RNA
Source: RNAcentral
GCAUAUCAAUAAGCGGAGGAAAAGAAACCAACAGGGAUUGCCCUAGUAACGGCGAAGUGAAGCGGCAACAGCUCAAAUUUGAAAUCUGGCCCUUGGGUCCGAAUUGUAAUUUGUAGAGGAUGAUUUUGGUGCGGUAUCUUCCGAGUUCCUUGGAACAGGACGCCUUAGAGGGUGAGAGCCCCGUACGGUUGAAUGCCUAGCCUCUGUAAAUCUCCUUCGACGAGUCGAGUAGUUUGGGAAUGCUGCUCUAAAUGGGAGGUAAAUUUCUUCUAAAGCUAAAUACUGGCCAGAGACCGAUAGCGCACAAGUAGAGUGAUCGAAAGAUGAAAAGCACUUUGAAAAGAGGGUUAAAUAGCACGUGAAAUUGUUGAAAGGGAAGGAUUUAUGACCAGACUUUUUCUGGGCGGAUCAUCCGGUGUUCUCACCGGUGCACUUUGCCCAGUUUAGGCCAGCAUCGAUUUUCGGAGAGGGAUAAAAGCUUUGGGAAUGUGGCUCCUCCGGGAGUGUUAUAGCCCAUUGUAUAAUACCUUUCUGGGGAUCGAGGUACGCGCUUCUGCAAGGAUGCUGGCGUAAUGGUUAUCAAUCACCCGUCUUGAAACACGGACCAAGGAGUCGAACAUUUGUGCAAGUGUUUGGGUGUUAAACCCUCACGCGUAAUGAAAGUGAACGGAGGUGAGAGCCCUUACGGGUGCAUCAUCGACCGAUCCUGAAGUUUUCGGAUGGAUUUGAGUAAGAGCAUAACUGUUCGGACCCGAAAGAUGGUGAACUAUGCGUGGAUAGGGUGAAGCCAGAGGAAACUCUGGUGGAGGCUCGCAGCGGUUCUGACGUGCAAAUCGAUCGUCAAAUCUGCGCAUGGGGGGCGAAAGACUAAUCGAACCAUCUAGUAGCUGGUUACCGCCGA